AUGAACAACCUGCCCUAAAGACUGGGAUAUACGGCCGAAAGGCCGGGCAAUACCGGAUGUGGCGCCUUUUCUUAUGAGAGGUCGUUAAACGGGGCAACUCGCUUUAGGAGGGGUUCAUGGCCUAUCAGGUAGUUGGCGGGGUAAUGGCCCACCAAGCCUACGACGGGUAGCGGGUCUGAGAGGAUGGUCCGCUCGAGUGGGACUGAGACACGGCC
Molecule: ribosomal RNA, 215 nt
Filed under: uncultured bacterium
Lineage: Bacteria
Description: partial 16S ribosomal RNA
Rfam family: Bacterial small subunit ribosomal RNA
Source: RNAcentral